RNAcentral lists this ribosomal RNA (496 nucleotides) under uncultured bacterium. Its description in RNAcentral is "partial 16S ribosomal RNA". It matches the Rfam family "Bacterial small subunit ribosomal RNA", at positions 29 to 507 of the family's 1533-position model. The record is from RNAcentral.
AUGAACGCUGGCGGCGUGCCUAAUACAUGCAAGUCGAGCGAACAGAUGAGGAGCUUGCUCCUCUGACGUUAGCGGCGGCCGGGUGAGUAACACGUGGAUAACCUACCUAUAAGACUGGGAUAACUUCGGGAAACCGGAGCUAAUACCGGAUAAUAUAUUGAACCGCAUGGUUCAAUAGUGAAAGACGGUUUUGCUGUCACUUAUAGAUGGAUCCGCGCCGCAUUAGCUAGUUGGUAAGGUAACGGCUUACCAAGGCAACGAUGCGUAGCCGACCUGAGAGGGUGAUCGGCCACACUGGAACUGAGACACGGUCCAGACUCCUACGGGAGGCAGCAGUAGGGAAUCUUCCGCAAUGGGCGAAAGCUUGACGGAGCAACGCCGCGUGAGUGAUGAAGGUCUUCGGAUCGUAAAACUCUGUUAUUAGGGAAGAACAAAUGUGUAAGUAACUAUGCACGUCUUGACGGUACCUAAUCAGAAAGCCACGGCUAACUACGUG